This 467-nucleotide ribosomal RNA is filed under the name uncultured bacterium. RNAcentral's name for it is "partial 16S ribosomal RNA". It matches the Rfam family "Bacterial small subunit ribosomal RNA", at positions 29 to 507 of the family's 1533-position model. The record is from RNAcentral.
ACGAACGCUGGCGGCGUGCUUAACACCUGCAAGUCGAACGGAAAGGCCCUGCUUUUGUGGGGUGCUCGAGUGGCGAACGGGUGAGUAACACGUGAGUAACCUGCCCUUGACUUUGGGAUAACUUCAGGAAACUGGGGCUAAUACCGGAUAGGAUCUCCUGCUGCAUGGUGGGGGUUGGAAAGUUUCGGCGGUUGGGGAUGGACUCGCGGCUUAUCAGCUUGUUGGUGGGGUAGUGGCUUACCAAGGCUUUGACGGGUAGCCGGCCUGAGAGGGUGACCGGCCACAUUGGGACUGAGAUACGGCCCAGACUCCUACGGGAGGCAGCAGUGGGGAAUAUUGCACAAUGGGCGGAAGCCUGAUGCAGCAACGCCGCGUGCGGGAUGACGGCCUUCGGGUUGUAAACCGCUUUCGCCUGUGACGAAGCGUGAGUGACGGUAAUGGGUAAAGAAGCACCGGCUAACUACGUG